GACGAACGCUGGCGGCGUGCUUAACACAUGCAAGUCGAACGGAGUGCCCAUGACAGAGUUUCGCAAUGGAUUGGGUUACUUAGUGGCGGACUGGUGAGUAAACGCGUGAGGAACCUGCCUUUCAGAGGGGGACAACAGUUGGAAACGACUGCUAAUACCGCAUGACAUAUAUUAAGGGCAUCCUUGAUAUAUCAAAGAUUUUUAUCGCUGAAAGAUGGCCUCGCGUCCGAUUAGAUAGUUGGUGGGGUAACGGCCCACCAAGUCGACGAUCGGUAGCCGGACUGAGAGGUUGACCGGCCACAUUGGGACUGAGAUACGGCCCAGACUCUACGGGAGGCAGCAGUGGGGAAUAUUGGG
Molecule: ribosomal RNA, 357 nt
Filed under: uncultured bacterium
Lineage: Bacteria
Description: bacterial SSU rRNA
Rfam family: Bacterial small subunit ribosomal RNA
Source: RNAcentral